GAUGAACGCUGGCGGCGUGCCUAACACAUGCAAGUCGAACGGAAAGACGAGGAGUUUGCCCCGCUGACGAGUGGCGAACGGGUGAGUAAAACAUGUGUAUAACCCCCCUAUAAGAGGGGGAUCACUAGGAAACAGGGGCGCUAACCCCGGAGAAUAUCUUGAACCACGGGGGGCAAUAGUGAAAGACGGCUGUGGGGUUAGGUCUAGCUGGAUUCGCGCUGGUUUGGGUAGUAGGUAGGGUAAAGGGUUACGAAGGCGACGAUGCGUGGGCGAGCUGAGAGGGUGAUCGGCCACACUGGAACUGAGACACGGACCAGACGCCUACGGGAGGCAGCAGUCGGGAAUGGUAGGCAAUGGGCGAAAGCAUGACACAGCAAGGGCGCGUGUGUGACGAAGGCCUUCGGAUCGUAAAGCUCUGUUAUGGGGGAAGAACCACUUUGUCCUGAGACGUGCGGGGAGUGACGGUACCGGAUAAAUAAGCACCGGCUAACUACGUG
This 497-nucleotide ribosomal RNA is filed under the name uncultured bacterium. Its description in RNAcentral is "partial 16S ribosomal RNA". It matches the Rfam family "Bacterial small subunit ribosomal RNA", at positions 28 to 507 of the family's 1533-position model. The record is from RNAcentral.